Molecule: ribosomal RNA, 2040 nt
Filed under: Staphylococcus aureus M1443
Lineage: Bacteria; Bacillati; Bacillota; Bacilli; Caryophanales; Staphylococcaceae
Description: bacterial LSU rRNA
Rfam family: Bacterial large subunit ribosomal RNA
Source: RNAcentral
UCAAGUGAUGAUUAUUGGAGGUAGAGCACUGUUUGGACGAGGGGCCCCUCUCGGGUUACCGAAUUCAGACAAACUCCGAAUGCCAAUUAAUUUAACUUGGGAGUCAGAACAUGGGUGAUAAGGUCCGUGUUCGAAAGGGAAACAGCCCAGACCACCAGCUAAGGUCCCAAAAUAUAUGUUAAGUGGAAAAGGAUGUGGCGUUGCCCAGACAACUAGGAUGUUGGCUUAGAAGCAGCCAUCAUUUAAAGAGUGCGUAAUAGCUCACUAGUCGAGUGACACUGCGCCGAAAAUGUACCGGGGCUAAACAUAUUACCGAAGCUGUGGAUUGUCCUUUGGACAAUGGUAGGAGAGCGUUCUAAGGGCGUUGAAGCAUGAUCGUAAGGACAUGUGGAGCGCUUAGAAGUGAGAAUGCCGGUGUGAGUAGCGAAAGACGGGUGAGAAUCCCGUCCACCGAUUGACUAAGGUUUCCAGAGGAAGGCUCGUCCGCUCUGGGUUAGUCGGGUCCUAAGCUGAGGCCGACAGGCGUAGGCGAUGGAUAACAGGUUGAUAUUCCUGUACCACCUAUAAUCGUUUUAAUCGAUGGGGGGACGCAGUAGGAUAGGCGAAGCGUGCGAUUGGAUUGCACGUCUAAGCAGUAAGGCUGAGUAUUAGGCAAAUCCGGUACUCGUUAAGGCUGAGCUGUGAUGGGGAGAAGACAUUGAGUCUUCGAGUCGUUGAUUUCACACUGCCGAGAAAAGCCUCUAGAUAGAAAAUAGGUGCCCGUACCGCAAACCGACACAGGUAGUCAAGAUGAGAAUUCUAAGGUGAGCGAGCGAACUCUCGUUAAGGAACUCGGCAAAAUGACCCCGUAACUUCGGGAGAAGGGGUGCUCUUUAGGGUUAACGCCCAGAAGAGCCGCAGUGAAUAGGCCCAAGCGACUGUUUAUCAAAAACACAGGUCUCUGCUAAACCGUAAGGUGAUGUAUAGGGGCUGACGCCUGCCCGGUGCUGGAAGGUUAAGAGGAGUGGUUAGCUUCUGCGAAGCUACGAAUCGAAGCCCCAGUAAACGGCGGCCGUAACUAUAACGGUCCUAAGGUAGCGAAAUUCCUUGUCGGGUAAGUUCCGACCCGCACGAAAGGCGUAACGAUUUGGGCACUGUCUCAACGAGAGACUCGGUGAAAUCAUAGUACCUGUGAAGAUGCAGGUUACCCGCGACAGGACGGAAAGACCCCGUGGAGCUUUACUGUAGCCUGAUAUUGAAAUUCGGCACAGCUUGUACAGGAUAGGUAGGAGCCUUUGAAACGUGAGCGCUAGCUUACGUGGAGGCGCUGGUGGGAUACUACCCUAGCUGUGUUGGCUUUCUAACCCGCACCACUUAUCGUGGUGGGAGACAGUGUCAGGCGGGCAGUUUGACUGGGGCGGUCGCCUCCUAAAAGGUAACGGAGGCGCUCAAAGGUUCCCUCAGAAUGGUUGGAAAUCAUUCAUAGAGUGUAAAGGCAUAAGGGAGCUUGACUGCGAGACCUACAAGUCGAGCAGGGUCGAAAGACGGACUUAGUGAUCCGGUGGUUCCGCAUGGAAGGGCCAUCGCUCAACGGAUAAAAGCUACCCCGGGGAUAACAGGCUUAUCUCCCCCAAGAGUUCACAUCGACGGGGAGGUUUGGCACCUCGAUGUCGGCUCAUCGCAUCCUGGGGCUGUAGUCGGUCCCAAGGGUUGGGCUGUUCGCCCAUUAAAGCGGUACGCGAGCUGGGUUCAGAACGUCGUGAGACAGUUCGGUCCCUAUCCGUCGUGGGCGUAGGAAAUUUGAGAGGAGCUGUCCUUAGUACGAGAGGACCGGGAUGGACAUACCUCUGGUGUACCAGUUGUCGUGCCAACGGCAUAGCUGGGUAGCUAUGUGUGGACGGGAUAAGUGCUGAAAGCAUCUAAGCAUGAAGCCCCCCUCAAGAUGAGAUUUCCCAACUUCGGUUAUAAGAUCCCUCAAAGAUGAUGAGGUUAAUAGGUUCGAGGUGGAAGCAUGGUGACAUGUGGAGCUGACGAAUACUAAUCGAUCGAAGACUUAAUCAA